Molecule: small nucleolar RNA, 111 nt
Organism: Lactuca sativa (garden lettuce)
Lineage: Eukaryota; Viridiplantae; Streptophyta; Magnoliopsida; Asterales; Asteraceae
Source: RefSeq, a predicted model, not a curated record
AAAUCAUUUUGGGGACAAUUUCUAAUCAAUGCUUUGUAGCGUUCCCAUGCUUCGUAAAGUGACUUACCCACCCAGUUGUUGCUUAAAAUUUGGUAUGGCUUUCUUGAGUUU